CCUACGGGAGGCUGCAGUGGGGAAUAUUGCACAAUGGGGGAAACCCUGAUGCAGCGACGCCGCGUGAGUGAAGAAGUAUUUCGGUACGUAAAGCUCUAUCAGCAGGGAAGAAAAUGACGGUACCUGACUAAGAAGCCCCGGCUAACUACGUGCCAGCAGCCGCGGUAAUACGUAGGGGGCACGCGUUAUCCGGAUUUACUGGGUGUAAAGGGAGCGUAGACGGCAGCGCAAGUCUGGAGUGAAAUGCCAUGGCUUAACCAUGGAACUGCUUGGGAAACUGUGCAGCGAGAGUGCAGGAGAGGUAAGCGGAAUUCCUGGUGUAGCGGUGAAAUGCGUAGAUAUUAGGAGGAACACCAGUGGCGAAGGCGGCUUACUGGACUGUAACUGACGUUGAGGCUCGAAAGCGUGGGGAGCAAACAGGAUUAGAUACCCGUGUAGUC
RNAcentral lists this ribosomal RNA (440 nucleotides) under uncultured bacterium. RNAcentral describes it as "partial 16S ribosomal RNA". It matches the Rfam family "Bacterial small subunit ribosomal RNA", at positions 338 to 795 of the family's 1533-position model. The record is from RNAcentral.